UUCGCAAUGCCCGAAAGGGUGACGAAGCGACGCCGCGUGUGGGAAGAAGGCCUUCGGGUUGUAAACCACUGUCGGGAGUUAGGAAAUGUAAGGGUGCUAAUAGUAUUCUUACUUGACUAAGGCUCCGGAGGAAGCCACGGCUAACUCUGUGCCAGCAGCCGCGGUAAUACAGAGGCGGCAAGCGUUGUUCGGAAUUAUUGGGCGUAAAGAGCACGUAGGCGGCCUUGUAAGUCAGUUGUGAAAGCCUUCUGCUUAACGGAAGAACAGCAGCUGAUACUGCAAGGCUAGAGUGCGGAAGGGGAGAGUGGAACUUCUGGUGGAGCGGUGAAAUGCGUAGAUAUCAGAAGGAACACCGGCGGCGAAGGCGACUCUCUGGUCCGUAACUGACGCUGAGUGUGCGAAAGCUAGGGGAGCAAACGGGAUUAGACACCCCGGUAGUCCUAGCCGUAAAC
RNAcentral lists this ribosomal RNA (452 nucleotides) under uncultured bacterium. RNAcentral describes it as "bacterial SSU rRNA". It matches the Rfam family "Bacterial small subunit ribosomal RNA", at positions 365 to 807 of the family's 1533-position model. The record is from RNAcentral.